RNAcentral lists this ribosomal RNA (497 nucleotides) under uncultured bacterium. RNAcentral describes it as "partial 16S ribosomal RNA". It matches the Rfam family "Bacterial small subunit ribosomal RNA", at positions 28 to 507 of the family's 1533-position model. The record is from RNAcentral.
GAUGAACGCUGGCGGCGUGCCUAAUACAUGCAAGUCGAGCGAACGGACGAGAAGCUUGCUUCUCUGAUGUUAGCGGCGGACGGGUGAGUAACACGUGGAUAACCUACCUAUAAGACUGGGAUAACUUCGGGAAACCGUAGCUAAUACCGGAUAAUAUUUUGAACCGCAUGGUUCAAAAGUGAAAGACGGUCUUGCUGUCACUUAUAGAUGGAUCCCCGCUGCAUUAGCUAGUUGGUAAGGUAACGGCUUACCAAGGCAACGAGGCAUAGCCGACCUGAGAGGGUGAUCGGCCACACUGGAACUGAGACACGGUCCAGACUCCUACGGGAGGCAGCAGUAGGGAAUCUUCCGCAAUGGGCGAAAGCCUGACGGAGCAACGCCGCGUGAGUGAUGAAGGUCUUCGGAUCGUAAAACUCUGUUAUUAGGGAAGAACAUAUGUGUAAGUAACUGUGCACAUCUUGACGGUACCUAAUCAGAAAGCCACGGCUAACUACGUG